This 325-nucleotide unclassified non-coding RNA is filed under the name uncultured Cantharellales. RNAcentral describes it as "sequence contains 5.8S rRNA gene, ITS2, 28S rRNA gene". The record is from RNAcentral. Lineage: Eukaryota; Fungi; Basidiomycota; Agaricomycetes; Cantharellales.
AACGCACCUUGCGCUCCUUGGCAUUCCUUGGAGCAUGCCUGUUUGAGUAUCAUGAAAUUCUCAAAGUAAAUCUUUUGUUAAUUCAAUUGGUUUCUACUUUGGACUUGGAGGUCUUUGCAGAUUUAAUUAUCUGCUCCUCUUAAAUUUAUUAGCUGGAUCUCAGUAUAUGCUUGGUUCCACUCAGCGUGAUAAGUUUAUCACUCGUUGAGGACACUGUAAAAGGUGGCCAGGAAAUACAGAUGAACUGCUUCUAAUAGUCUAUUAAAUUAGACAAUGAAUUUUAAGAUCUGAUCUCAAAUCAGGUAGGACUACCCGCUGAACUUAA